This 253-nucleotide ribosomal RNA is filed under the name uncultured prokaryote. Its description in RNAcentral is "partial 16S ribosomal RNA". It matches the Rfam family "Bacterial small subunit ribosomal RNA", at positions 524 to 776 of the family's 1533-position model. The record is from RNAcentral.
UACAGAGGGGGCAAGCGUUGUUCGGAAUUACUGGGCGUAAAGCGCGCGUAGGUGGUUUGUUAAGUUGGAUGUGAAAGCCCCGGGCUCAACCUGGGAACUGCAUUCAAAACUGACAAGCUAGAGUAUGGUAGAGGGUGGUGGAAUUUCCUGUGUAGCGGUGAAAUGCGUAGAUAUCUGGAGGAAUACCGGUGGCGAAGGCGGCAUCCUGGACCGAGAUUGACACUGAUGAGCGAAAGCCAGGGGAGCAAACGGG